GCAUAUAGAGCACUAGUUACUAUUCCUAGCCACUUGGAGCACGGCGAUCAACUUUGAUUCCUUCAUUUAACGGGGCUUUCGCUUCUCUUUAUAUAUGUUCUGUGUACAGAACAGACGUGACAGUUAAGAAUAACGAAUAUUUUAUAUCUAUAAUCUUGUGCGCUUAUUUCUAAAACAAAGUGCGAAAAUUCAAUUCUGCAAAAUAGAUUCUAUUCUUGGAGAAUUUCAGAUUUGUAAUGAGCAACCUCAAAAAUCCCAGGAUAUCAAAUUUUAUGCAAAUUAAAAAAGGCUUUCAUAUUUUAACCAUCUUUUCGGGAUUUUGGCCCACUGUAUAUCGUUAAGAGUUAUAGAAUACGCCUACUGGUCAGAGACGAAAAUCCCGAAAUCGAGGAAUCAAUCAUUUGAAUUCAAACCACGUUCGGCAGCAAUCGACCAAGCUGCUUAUCAGCAAACUGUGAAUCUAUUCGACGAGAAACUUAGACGGUCCGAGCGUCUUGGAGAAUAAAACCCCCCAAAAAAAAGAAAUUUUUUGAAAGUUAAAAUUGAGUAAGUUAAUAAAUUUUUUUAACUAAUAAUUUAAGUUAAAGUUGA
This is a long non-coding RNA of Solenopsis invicta (red fire ant), 591 nucleotides long. RefSeq lists it as uncharacterized. The record is from RefSeq and is a predicted model, not a curated record. Lineage: Eukaryota; Metazoa; Arthropoda; Insecta; Hymenoptera; Formicidae. The transcript has 3 exons.